Non-coding RNA from Heterocephalus glaber (naked mole-rat), 8272 nucleotides. Lineage: Eukaryota; Metazoa; Chordata; Mammalia; Rodentia; Bathyergidae. The record is from RefSeq and is a predicted model, not a curated record.
GUGGGCUUGUGUGAGUGUGUUUGUGCAUAAGUAUGCAAAUGUGCUGCCCAGCCUUGGGUGUGUGUGUGCCUGGGGUUACGUAUGUGAGUGUAUGUGAGUGUGUACACAUGGCUAUGCUUAUGUUAGUGCAUGUGGAUACAUAGGGGUGGACACUUGUGCAUAUGGAUAUGUGUGUACACGCCCGAGGGUAUGCGUGCUUGCACGUGUGUGAGGGAGUGUGUCUGCAUGUGCCUAGGUAUGUGUGUACCUGUCACUGUGUAUGAGUGUGCUGUGUGUGUGUGUGUGUGUGUGUGAAGCCUGCUCUCUGGCUCUGCUCGGGUUGUGAAGUGCUGCUAACCUUGCUGCCUUCUUGCAACAUGCAAGUAGCUCCUUCAGGAUCUAGCACAGGCCUCUUGCUUUCAGUUUUAUUCUGUUUUGCAGAAAAAUUGGGAAGUGAAUUGCGGGUAUAGCAGCAGUGGUGCAGGGAGUUCAUCUUGGUUCUAGGAGUCUCCAAGCUGGAAGCAUCUCUCUGCCCACCCUGAUUCUCCCUGGGGACUGCUGACUGCUCGUGGCUCCGCUGUCCCUGCCCCGGGGCCGCCCCACUUCCAGACUCUGCACUAUGGCUGGCAGCUUGGCUGGCGCAGUGCUCUUGGCUGAGCUGAGCUGACCCAGUUCUGAUGACUGAUUGCCAACCAGCCCAGGCUGCUGCAACCAGGCAGCCGCUCGAAUCCUACUUUUGACUGGCGGUGCAAGAACAUUUGCUAUGGCCACGCUGAGUUCUGACUCCUCUGAUGACGGCAAGAUUGUCCUAUGUCAGACUCACGGUGUAGGUGUAGGUGUAGGUGUAGGUGUGUGUGUGUGUGUGUGUGUGUGUGUGUGCAUGCACAUAUAUUAUUGUUGUCUUUUUGUUGCCAAUUUGAGGUGUUGCUAACUUCAUACUUGAAGUCUCAGGGUGCGGGGCAGGUGGCUGUCUUUCUUUCUGCAGGUCAUGAGCACCUGCCCCAGUCCUGGCUGUGGGGCUGUGGUCUUCCGGGUCGCGGACUGGCUGAGGGUGGCCCCUAGGAUGGACUUAGCACCCCACCUUCUCAUGUUCCAGGGGCGGCAGGCAGAAGAGCAAACCAGCAUGCUGGGCUGUGGUGGGAGAGGGGGACCCAGCUGUGCAGAAGGUAACCAGUGCCGGCACUGGCAGAUGAACCCAACAAAGAGUUAGUCAUUUUAUCUCGGUCUGGGAGAGACAGUGGGCUCAACAGUGCUUUCGUUCCCCACAGUGAGUUUACAUCAUGCUUUGAAAAAGACAUAUUUGUUGAUGACCAGUUUUGAGGAAAAAGCAGAAAUUGUUAGAGGGCCCCACUGUGCUUUGGUUAGGUAUUCUGAACAUUUGUGGGCUCACUCAGACCACAACAGACAUUUCGCUGCCUUCUACCCUUCCUUUCAUUCCUACUACAGAGGCUUUGCCGUCUUCUACCUUGAUUUGGGCCACAAAUAUCAUGGAAAAGCUAAAUGGUGUGCACACCUAACAGGAAGGCUAGACAAGAUUGUGCAGAGCAGCCUGGGCAGGCAUCCAGCUUACACCGUGAGGGCAACCCGGAGGCCCCUCCGCUCCACUCUGACUAGAGCUGGCGGGAGUGCCAGGGGCUGACGCCCCGGGCCUCCAGUGAGGUCCCAGAUGUGGGUCACUGUGCAGGACUUGUGUGCAAAGACCCACACUGGAAACACAGUGUCCAGAGGUGACAGGAGCAUGUGGCGGUCACUUACUUUGCUCUACAGGUUUCUUGUGCUCAAAGAUGUGGGGUUGACCUGGGGCCCCAGCUCUUCUUACUCCAUUCCCAGGUUUCCACAAACAUUUUCUCCCCACACAAAAGGUAUGCUCCCGGCCCCCUUGCUGCCCUGCUUUCUCCCGCUCUCGUUCUCUCUUCCUUUCUUCUAAAAAAACUUUAAAAAUGUUGUCUUCAAUUGACAGAUUGUAACUGUAUGUAUGUAAAGAGUUCCAUGUAUUGUUUUGCUAUAUGUUUACACUGCAGAAUGAUUAAAUCAAGAAAAUGAACAAGUUCAUCACCCGGCACACUUAUCUUUCUAUGGUGAAAACAUUUAAAAGCUACUGUUCUAGCAAUUUUGAAAAGUACAGUGCAUUGCUCUUUGUCCUGGUCACCACUCUGUGCAGUAAGUCAGGAACGCUUACUAAGAAAGCUUCUUUCGCUGACUGGAACUGUACACCCUGUGCUCAGCUUCCCCCUUUCCCUCAGCCCCUGGGAAACACCACCUGCUCCGUUCCUACGAGUUCAACUUCUAAAAUCUCCACAGUUAAAUUUUAAACAACGCGAUUGGCAGUGAGGUUGCACGGACAGCACACACGCUGUCGCCCUGCUUCCCUCUUGUGCAACCUCCAGCAACGACCAAAACGAAGAAGCUGCCCUGGGGGCUCAGCUCCAGACCUUGCUGGAUUCCGUGGUUUUUCUACUGGUGUCCUCCCUGUUCCGGGACGGCCUGCGGUCCACCCUGCACACAGCUGUCCUGCUCCUUGGUGUCUUCAGCUGACAGCCCAGUCUCUCCUCAUCAGAGACGCUCUUGGCACUUUCUAGAGUACUGGUCAGGUACUUUAAAAACGCCCUCAAUUAUGAGAUUGCCUGACAUUUCCUUGUGAUUAGAUGGAGGACGUGCAUUUCCCAACCCAUUCCUAGUCUGCACCUGUUUCCUAGUCUGCAUUUUGUGAACCCUGAGACAUUCACUUGCCUUUCCUUGGGCCACCCCAAGGGAAACGUGCCCCUUUGGGUGACCUGGGGAUGGUGGCCACCAGUGGGCCCUGACUGAGCCCUUCCCAGCUCCAGUGACCCUGUCCUCUGGCGCCUUCCUUCUGCACACACAGGGCUCGGCCGUCACUUACAAUCUUUCAUGUCUAAGGCUACAGUCUCGACCUCCUCUCCUAAAGGCAAGUUCUUCCUCUUGUACCGUUGUUAAUUGGCUCUUUCCAAACGUGACGUUUUCUGCAUCCGGACCUCUGCUUUCACAUUUUCCCAUCUUCUUCCUGCUUUCCUCCAGAGCUUGUUUUGAGCGUGUCAUGACAAACUGAAGGAGGCGCUCAGCCCUACAGCUCCCUCGGGACACUGAGCUGCCCCUCUAGCCAGCCGCUGCCAGAUGAGUGUUAGUACUGCUGACACCAGCCUUUUUCUGGUCAGUGCUCUCACUGGCAAAGAGUUGACCUUGUGUUCUAUUUUUAUUUCCCUGCAUGAAUGCACACCUUUUGCUGUUUGUUUUGUCUUAAGAAAUCAUGACCCUGUAACUGGUCCUGUGGAAAGAAGAGAAAUUACCUCACCUCAGCUGACAGCCAACACCCUAGGACUUUCCACGAUCCGUUUUUAAGCAGCUUCUAACCCUAAGUGCUUCCUCCUUGCCCAAGUUAUCAAGUCUGUCUCUGCUAUGCACCCACCAAAAGGUCAGACAGCCCUGUGAGCUCAACACCAGGUCCUCCCUGGCCUCCAGGUACCUGGCCUCCACGUACUUGCAUUCUUAUUCAGGCUUCUUUCUUCCUCCCCACCUUCCAGAGCAGGUCUGUUUUGUGCCUGAGCCUUGUGCUCCAUCUGGGGCUCUGUCUCACUCUGCCAACUUCCUCUGUGGCUCUUCCUGCAUCAGAAGCCACUUCCUCUGUCCCAUGGCCCUUCUUCCAGUGACAAAGAUGGCGGCAUCUCUUUAUUGCAGAGAAUGUUCCCAGCCUGCCAUACUCACUUCUCUCCUGACCACAGUUCUGCGAAGAACAAACGCACGAUCCUCCUCCAGGGCCCCAUUUCUUUUCAUUCCUCACAGAAAAAUCUGGCUUUGUUCCCUCUGUGCCAUUGGAACUCUGCAAUGCAGCUGCUGCAGGUCACAGGUCUUUAAUUCUGCUCAGCCUGAUGGUAGCAUCUGCUCUAGCUCUCAGAUGCACCUCCCCCAGGUUUGCUUCUGUGACAGCUCACUGAUGACUCUGCCUCCUUUGAGAGUUUAGAUCAUGUGUCAUAGUCUUACACCUAACUGUCAUCCAUCCUGUUCUCUUCCUUUCUCCAGUUCCCUCUGGCCCUUCAUCACUUUUUAUGGCUUUGACCAUUGCUGUGAUGCAAAGAACUCACAAUCUGUCUUUCUGGUCUUGCUGUCCCUGCUAGGCCCUCAGCUCUCAGCCCCAGACUGCAUGUUAGGAGCAGAAGCAUCACUUCCCAUUCUUCCUGUUCCUUCUUCCGGCUCUCUCUCCAGGAAGACGCUGAGCCCAGGUCAGCGUGCUGGUGUUUUUAUGAGAUGUUCUUUCCACCACCAGUUCCAUGAUCCAUGAUACUCUAGGGGCUCUGAACUCCCAACUUUUGCAGCACUUUUUGCAGUCAUGGCUUUGUUUUUCUCUUUUUGUAAUCUUUUCCUUGUACUUUGGCUUUUAUUUUUCAUCAGGGAGCCCCUGUUUUCCAUUCUCAGUAACCCAUUCUCGUUUUCAUGCUGCACGUCUCCCUGGUCUUUUGGUCAGUAUCAGUACUGCCCAAGUUCUGGCAGAGCUUCCCUAGCCUCUGGUCCAGUGCAGAUCAUUCUGCUGCGCUCUUGAUCAGAGUGGUCAUUCCAUCAAGGUGGACUCCAGAACCUCAGAUGCAGUGGAUUCAAACGGAAUCAUUUUGUUCCCCUCUAAAACUCUCCUUAAGAUUCCCUCAGUUAGGGAAUGCCGUGGAGCCAGAAAAUAGGAGUUCUCCAAAACUCUCUUCAUUCUCUCAUUGUGAUUGUUCACUGUGUUAUGUCAGCUUGACUAGAGGAAGAACUGACUAGCAGAUUAGUAAAGCUUUGGAUGUUUUGGAUGAUUGACAGGUAGGCCAGCAAAUUGAGGAGGGGAGACCCACCCCAGACAUGGGAAUAAAAAGGGAAAGAAGGAAGUCUUCCCUUUUGCUUCUUUGGAGCAGCUCUGGUCUUCACCAUUGUUUCUGGAUGUUUGUCUCCAUUUCCUUCAGAUUUCCAGUGCUGACUCUUCAGCCCUCCAACACACUUUGCAACAGAGACUCACAUCACUGGCACUGCAGUGAGCUCCAGACCUUCGAUGUUGGACUGGAUCCUUGGGUUCUCCAGCACACAGAUUGGCAUUUUGCAUUCUUUCUCCCACCGAGUCUGUAGGCAGCCAUUUUAAGCUUACAUAGCAAAUCCUGUAUAUAAUCUUAUAUACAUUUUAUACUAAAUCUGUUCCUCUAGUGAGCUCUGACUGAUAUACUCAUCCCAAAGAGGGUUCUCCAUGUCACCUUCUCAGGAGCUCUUGAGCUUGUCCCUUCUUCACCUCUGGUGCCAUUGCCACAGUUCAGCUUCUUAUCCAGUAGCCUCUUAAUUUCCCUGCUCCAAUUCUUUUCUUUCUGUAUCACAAUCAUUCCACAAAUGCCAGAUAAGAAUUUUCUAAAAUGUCAAUCCUCUCUGGUUCUUCUUCUACUAGAAUCUUUCAGUGGGACUCUCCAUCUGCUUCAGAAUGACAUUUAAGUUUAUUAAUAUGGUAUGUAUUAGUCAGCUAAUGUCACAGUAAUACUCAGUAACAAACAUCCCCAAAUAUAGUGCUUUGCAGUGACAAGCCUUUGUUCUGAUAUUCACUUGACUGUUGGUUGACUGUGGUUCAGGCUGCAGGACUGCUGGGCUGGGCUCUAAACUGCAGUUGGGGUUAGAAUCUACUUGCUAUCAAGAUGACUAGAGUAGAUGGGAGUAAUGAGAACGUGAGAUGCCUCUUGAAGGUGUUGUCUGGAACUGGCUACCACAAAUUCUGUCCACUUCUAUUGGCCAGAGAGAGCCCCAUGGAGUCCAUCACCACUGGGGCAGCAGCAUAUACUCUUCCAUCCUCUAUCCCUGCAAGACCCCAGGACUCAUGCAGAGGAAUAGAAACCAGAUGCAGGGAGACUGUGAGAACCAAGGAGAUUGUGGCUCCCCUCGCACAGGUGGCAAGGGGCAUGUCCAGGCUCUGCUCCCUGUGCAGACCCACCCUCCCCAGUCUUCAGCCUUCCUCUCAUGCUGCAUCCCACUUUGCCACUUGAUGGUUGCCUGUGUGCUGGAAGUGCCUUCCUUCCCUCAUGCUUCCCCGGAUGCCCGGGUCUGUGCACAGAAAGACUUUCACCCCCUGCACCUGGGGGUUCCUGAGACUGCAGGCCCGGCAGCCUCGGAGUGUGGCUGGCCAGGUGUCCCCGGCUCCUGCCCUUCCACACUGCUGUCACUGCUCUCUGCACACUUGUUUUUCCUAUUUCUUUUUAGUUUUCCCUCCCACGUUUCUUCUUAGUGCAUACUGGCUAUGCAGAUUAAAAUCUGGUUGUACAGAUUUCACCCUGGCAAACUUGCAGAUAACAUAACACAUUUUAUUUGUUCCCCUGCCCAGGCUCCCUUGCCUCGGCCCCUCCUAGUUUCAAAUAUUUUGGGGGGCUUCAUGCGCAUAAUGCAUUUGGCCUUGUACUGCCACUGUCACCCAUCUUCCCCCUUCUUCUGUUCCUCUUGUCUAAUAAUAGCCUCCCUUCCACUUUCUUGUCAUUUUUUUAAGAUUCUAUAUAUCACAGGGAGAAGAUAUCAUGUUUGCCUCUCGGAGUUUGGUUUAUUUUGCUCAACAUGAUCAUCUAGAUCCAUUCAAUUCUCUGCAAUUGACAACAUUUCAUUCUCUUUAUGGCCGAAUAAUACUCCACUGUAUAAUAUACGACAUUUUCACUAUUCAUCUUUUGAUGGGCACUCAGGGUCACGCCAUAUUGGGGCUACUGUACACUGUGCUGCAACAAACAUGACACGCAUGUGUCCCCGAGCGUCAAAUUUCACUAGACGCAAAGACCAAAUACUUUGCCGCACCCUCCUCCCAAGAUGAUCAUGGUCCCCUGCUGUAAGAGUAACAAAUAACCUGUUUGGCCACAGGUGUGUUCAUGGUGACCCUUGGCUGGAGAUACUGACAGCACUUCACAGAAAGCCCUCACACAACAGUGACCUCAGCCAUAACGGUGGAGCCUGGAGGACUUCAAGGACCACUGCUUGGCCACAGUCAGUACGUGGCUCUUACCACCAAGAGCAACUCAUGGUCCAAGAGGCUGCUACAGUGCCAGCCAUCAACUCUAUAUGCUGUACAGCAAGAAGGGGAAUAGGGAGAAGGGGAGAAGGAUGCUAGUCUCAAUUUUAUCAACCCUUUUUAAGAAAAUGUCCCUGAAAUCUUCCAUAUUCGGAGCACGGCUCAGUCCCGUGGCCAGGCCUUGUUGCAAGGGAUGAUGGGAAAUGUAGUCUUUGAGCUGGGAGUACUGCUGUGCCAGGAAAGUAAGGAUUCUGUUACCAACAGACGAGCAAGAAAGACACAUUGUUGGGCUGUUGCCACCUCUACCUCCAAGUACUAGUGCGUCAGCUUCUUCGAGGGCCACGGGACCCUUCUGGGAUUAAAAUUGCGUGUGGCUUCUAAGCGCUCCUGGGGGUCAAGUGUCCACACUUCCCCAAGGGCUCUUCGAGGGAGCGUCUGGUCCCUGUGUCUGCGUGUCACCAGGCCUGGGGCAGCUCUGGCCAGGCGGUCCUUCUUGCCCUGGGGUGAGGACGCGCAUGUUUCCUGUGGUGUCUUCACCGGAGCUUCCUCCCCAGCUCCGGGCCACUGAGUUCUCAGUGCUCACUGAGCCAGGCAGCCUUGCUGAGCCGGGCACUGGGGACGCAGCAUCGGACAGCAAGGUCCCGUUCCCAUGGUGCCUUGCUCUGGGAGGAAGGGGUCUCCCUGAAGACCUGGGGAAAGCGUUCCUUGCGGCCGGGUGGGUGGGAUGGGGCCAGGAGGGGAGGGGAGGUCAGAGCUCCAGGGGCCCAAGGCCCGGGGGAGGGACCACUUCAGGGUCAGUGACUGGCGUCAGAUGGCACCAGUCAGAUCCACGCCCCUCUGCACCUGUGACCCUCCAGCCCCCCUUCCCCAUCCUGAACGGGGAAGGGAAGCGAGGGCAGCAGCAGCAGGGCACAGUGUCAGGCAGGGUACCUUGGGAAGCCCCAGAGAAAGCGACCACGGAGUGGGGCCUCGAAGGAGCGAAGGGCGAGGACCCUGUGCGGGGCUGGGAAGAGCACUCCAAGCUAGGGCAGAGGCUGUGCAGGCCAGAGGCAGGCACUUGAUGAAUCAUUUCACUGGAGCAGAGAGCGAGGGAGUGGAGAUGAAGUCUGGGAGCUGAUAGGAGCCAAGUUCACAGGGCCUUAGAGGGCGGAGUCAGGACUUCCGUGAGACAGGAUAGCCGACAACGUGUGCGUGGCGAGAUCUGACUGUGUCUUCUUGUGCCCUCUCUGGUUAACUUUAGUUCUUGCCAGACAAAAAUACUUGAUAAAGCUGAAAUGAAAUUUUGAGAUUGAA